This 447-nucleotide ribosomal RNA is filed under the name uncultured bacterium. RNAcentral's name for it is "bacterial SSU rRNA". It matches the Rfam family "Bacterial small subunit ribosomal RNA", at positions 355 to 825 of the family's 1533-position model. The record is from RNAcentral.
UCGGGAAUUUUGGGCAAUGGGCGAAAGCCUGACCCAGCAACGCCGCGUGAAGGAUGAAGUAUUUCGGUAUGUAAACUUCGUAAGAAUAGGAAGAAUAAAUGACGGUACUAUUUGUAAGGUCCGGCUAACUACGUGCCAGCAGCCGCGGUAAUACGUAGGGACCAAGCGUUGUUCGGAUUUACUGGGCGUAAAGGGCGCGUAGGCGGUGUGUCAAGUCAGUUGUGAAAUCUCCGAGCUUAACUCGGAACGGUCAGAUGAUACUGCUUUGCUAGAGUGCAGAAGGGGCAAUCGGAAUUCUUGGUGUAGCGGUGAAAUGCGUAGAUAUCAAGAGGAACACCUGAGGUGAAGACGGGUUGCUGGGCUGACACUGACGCUGAGGCGCGAAAGCCAGGGGAGCAAACGGGAUUAGAUACCCAUGUAGUCCCUGAGCGGGCUGGCAAGGCGCAU